RNAcentral lists this ribosomal RNA (497 nucleotides) under uncultured bacterium. Its description in RNAcentral is "bacterial SSU rRNA". It matches the Rfam family "Bacterial small subunit ribosomal RNA", at positions 15 to 507 of the family's 1533-position model. The record is from RNAcentral.
GAUCCUGGCUCAGGAUGAACGCUGGCGGCGUGCUUAACACAUGCAAGUCGAACGAAGCACUUUAUUACGAUUUCUUCGGAAUGACGAUUUAGUGACUGAGUGGCGGACGGGUGAGUAACGCGUGGGUAACCUGCCUUAUACAGGGGGAUAACAGUUAGAAAUGACUGCUAAUACCGCAUAAGCGCACAGGAUUGCAUGAUCUGGUGUGAAAAAACUCCGGUGGUAUAAGAUGGACCCGCGUCUGAUUAGCUGGUUGGUGAGGUAACGGGCCCACCAAGGCGACGAUCAGUAGCCGACCUGAGAGGGUGACCGGCCACAUUGGGACUGAGACACGGCCCAAACUCCUACGGGAGGCAGCAGUGGGGAAUAUUGCACAAUGGGGGAAACCCUGAUGCAGCGACGCCGCGUGAGCGAAGAAGUAUUUCGGUAUGUAAAGCUCUAUCAGCAGGGAAGAAAAAAUGACGGUACCUGACUAAGAAGCCCCGGCUAACUACGUG